RNAcentral lists this ribosomal RNA (454 nucleotides) under uncultured bacterium. RNAcentral describes it as "bacterial SSU rRNA". It matches the Rfam family "Bacterial small subunit ribosomal RNA", at positions 340 to 786 of the family's 1533-position model. The record is from RNAcentral.
UACGGAAGGCAGCAGUGGGGAAUAUUGCACAAUGGGCGCAAGCCUGAUGCAGCCAUGCCGCGUGUAUGAAGAAGGCCUUCGGGUUGUAAAGUACUUUCAGCGGGGAGGAAGGCGAUGCGGUUAAUAACCGCGUCGAUUGACGUUACCCGCAGAAGAAGCACCGGCUAACUCCGUGCCAGCAGCCGCGGUAAUACGGAGGGUGCAAGCGUUAAUCGGAAUUACUGGGCGUAAAGCGCACGCAGGCGGUCUGUUAAGUCAGAUGUGAAAUCCCCCGGGCUUAACCUGGGAACUGCAUUUUGAAACUGGCAGGCUUGAGUCUUGUAGAGGGGGUAGAAUUCCAGGUGUAGCGGUGAAAUGCGUAGAGAUCUGGAGGAAUACCGGUGGCGAAGGCGGCCCCUGGACAAAGACUGACGCUCAGGUGCGAAAGCGUGGGGAGCAAACAGGAUUAGAUACC